This is a transfer RNA of 83 nucleotides. It matches the Rfam family "tRNA". From Rfam's summary of the family: Transfer RNA (tRNA) molecules are approximately 80 nucleotides in length. The record is from Rfam.
GGUUCCGUAGUGUAGUGGUUAGCACGUGAGGUUUUGAAAUGCCUCUGCUCCUCAAAUCGCGAGUUCGAAUCUCGCCGGAACCU